GACGAACGCUGGCGGCGUGCUUAACACAUGCAAGUCGAACGGGUCUGCCCUGUUUUUUGCGGGGUGGGUCAGUGGCGAACGGGUGAGUAGCACGUGAGUAACCUGCCCCUCACUUCUGGAUAACCGCUUGAAAGGGUGGCUAAUACGGGGUGUUCUGGCUGUGCCGCAUGGUGUGGCUGGGAAAGAUUCACUUUUGUGGUGUUUUGGUGGGGGAUGGGCUCGCGGCCUAUCAGCUUGUUGGUGGGGUGAUGGCCUGCCAAGGCUUUGACGGGUAGCCGGCCUGAGAGGGUGGGCGGUCACACUGGGACUGAGAUACGGCCCAGACUCCUGCGGGAGGCAGCAGUGGGGGGUAUUGCACAAUGGGCGGAAGCCUGAUGCAGCGACGUCGCGUGAGGGAUGGAGGCCUUCGGGUUGUGAACCUCUUUCGCCGGUGAAGAAGGUCCUGCUCUUUGUGGUGGGGUUGACGGUAGCCGGGUUAUGAAGCGCCGGCUAACUACGUG
RNAcentral lists this ribosomal RNA (500 nucleotides) under uncultured bacterium. RNAcentral's name for it is "partial 16S ribosomal RNA". It matches the Rfam family "Bacterial small subunit ribosomal RNA", at positions 28 to 507 of the family's 1533-position model. The record is from RNAcentral.